CAAAUUGUGAUUUUCAGCUGAUUAUUUACAGACAUCACGUAAUUUUGUUGUUUUAUUUUUUAGUUUAAAAAAAUGGCUGCUCAUGGACGAUUUGGUGGUCGAACAAACAAGGAACUUAUUCAAUAUUUAAAAAAGUCAAAAAUAGUUAAAUCAGAACGAGUUUAUGAGGCAAUGUGUUGUGUUGAUCGUGAAAAAUAUACAUCAAGAGAUCCUUACAUUGAUGCACCACAAGGAAUUGGAUUUGGAGUUACAAUAAGUGCACCACACAUGCAUGCCUAUGCAUUGGAGUUGCUCGCAGACAAAUUGAUAAGAGGAAAUAAAGCAUUAGAUGUUGGAUCUGGAUCUGGUUAUUUAACAGCUUGUAUGGGAGUGAUGCUUGGUAAUGAUGGUCUUGCUGUUGGUAUUGAUCAUAUUCCAGAGCUUCAACAACUUGCUGAAAAAAAUAUAAAGAAUGACAAACCAAAUCUACUUGAAAGUGGUCGUGUUAAAUUAAUAGUUGGUGAUGGAAGACUUGGUUGUACAAAAUAUGCUCCAUAUGAUGCAAUACAUGUUGGAGCAGCAGCAAAAGAAAUGCCUCAGACAUUGAUUGAUCAAUUGGCACCUGGUGGACGUCUUAUUGUUCCAGUUGGUCCUGAAAAUUCUGAUCAGACACUUGUACAAAUUGAUAAAACAAUUGAUGGUGUUAUUAAACAACGAUCAUUGAUGGGAGUUGUUUAUGUACCUUUGACUGAUAAGGAACGACAAUAUAAUUCGUGAAAUAGAUGUUUGCUCCAGUGAGCCUUUCGUAUCAUUAGCAUUCAAAAAUAAUAUAUAUAUUCAUUUGAAAGGACAAUAUAAUGAUCAUUUGAUUUACAAUAACGCCAGAAAAUGGAUACUAACUAAAGAACUCAUUGAUAGACCUACUCCGUAAAAUCCACCAAUCAUUGCUGAGGCUAUUUCUUGUUCAUGUGUCUUCACUACUCUGUUGUAUUUUCAAACAAACAAUCAAUUGAUUAUAUAUUUUGUUAUUAUUUUAAUUUUAAAAGAAUGGAUAAUUUGAAAAAUUAUUACUCACGUAGGAACAAGUAUGAAUACACUUGACCAUGAAAAACCAUGGCUUGUAGAAAAUAAAAACAUUAUUAGCAUGUAAAUAAAAUCAUUGGUGAUGUAGACUGGAAAAUGUUUUUCCGAAUCAGCUGAAGCAUUACAAACAAAAAAAAUUGGAAUGAAUAUAAAUCUGGCUGUAGAAAUACUCAGUAGUAACCACGGUUUUCCUUUCAACUAAAUUAUAAAUAAAAUAAAAUAUUAAAAACAAUUAAAACACAAUUUUACAGAGUGUUAUACGAAUUUGAAAUUUUACCCAAGAUGAAUAACGUGAAUAUAAACAACCAAAAUAAUCACCAAUACUGAACGUAAGAAAUGUUGCAACUGGUACAAAGUAUUUAUCUGAAAUAAAUUAAUUGUUAAAUUUUUUAAAUAUUACUUAAAAGAGAUUUAUUAAUUUAUAUUUUAUUCUAUAUUUUAACUGACCGCUCCAUUCGCUGGUACUUGAUGAUUCACUCUUUACCAGUGAAUUAACUCCUGGAUAAACUAAAUAUGUUAUAAAAAAUGUCAAAAAAAUGCUCAAUCCAUAUGGCCAAAUUUUAACGAUAAUUUUUAUAUAUGAUACUGAAUUAUUAUCACUUGAACUUGGUGUAUCAUCAAUUGAUUUAUCAGAAUUUUUAAUCGUCACUUUCUCCUUCAUAUGAU
Molecule: unclassified non-coding RNA, 1728 nt
Filed under: Aphidius gifuensis
Lineage: Eukaryota; Metazoa; Arthropoda; Insecta; Hymenoptera; Braconidae
Description: protein-L-isoaspartate(D-aspartate) O- methyltransferase-like, transcript variant X3
Source: RNAcentral